GGAGUCCCGCCCAGCCUCCCGAGGAAGGAGAUGCGGAGCGCGCGCCAGGCCGCAGCCGCCGCCCAGAUCCCGCCCCAGCCGGCGAGGUGUGGGGUGAGCGUGUCGGCCGUCCCCGUACACGUCGGGUGAUGGGACUGGGGACACUAAGAGGCGAGGCGGUAUGGAGCGUCCCCUUCCCGCACCCUUUUGAAACAAAUCCCACCUUCCUGCUUCCUCUGCCCUCCCAAUCUCAGCCAAAAGGCUCAAGGACAGGGCGGCGUUCCGCUUGCACACACCGCGGUGUCGUGCUGCGAGCGCGUUCCAGAAACGCUCCUCUGUGACGCAAGCCACGCAUUUUCCAGGGUCAGAGAGCUUCAGGAGUCCCCGCUUGCCAAACAGUAGUACGUAAAUACGAAAGCUGAACACUGGGACGUGUGGCCCUAAAUAGUAUCACCGCGACGGCGGCCCCGGGAGAAGAGAUGUACUGCCAUGUACUGGCUCUGUGCCUUUGAGUGAGCUGUUUAACCUCUCUGAGCCUCCGUCUCUUUACCUGAAAAAGGAGCAUAUUAUCUGUUUCAGUUGCUGUGACAUGGGUAGUAGAGCUAUCUGUGUUAGCACAAUGCCGGGGACAUACCAGAUAAUAAAUGGGAUUUAUUUUUACCAUUAUUGCUUUUUAAAAUUAUUUCAUUAUUAAGAUUUUAUCAGAACCACCAAUCUGCGUUUUCCCUGAAGCACAUUUUACCAAAAGUUUGAGAGAAAACGGUUUUUGGCGGUUUUAUAACUAUUUGAUGUAUUCGAGUAUCAGCAGUUCUCCCACACUGACUGUUGGUUUUAGAAAGUGUAACGGGUACAUAGUUUUGUGAACUCCGAAAGUUUGAGACAAGUCUCAGUUAAUGUAUAAAGUUUAUCUUGACAAGGUUGAGGACGCGUGCCCGUGACACAGCCUCAGGAAGUCCUGAGAACACGUGCCCAAGGGGUGAACAGCUUGGUUUUAUACAGGGAGACAGGAGACCUCAAUCUAUAUGCAAGAAGUACAUUGGUUCCUGCCGGAAAGGUGGGACAACUUGAAGCAGGGAGGAAGGCUUCCAGGUUAUAAGUAGGUGAGAGACAAAUGGUUGCAGUCUUUGGAGUUUCUGAUAAGCCUUUCCCAAGGAAGCAAUCAGAUAUGCAUCUGUCUCAGCAGAGGGAUGACUUUGAAUAGAAUGGGAGGCAGGUUUGCCUUGAGCAGUUCCCAGCUUGAAUUUUCCCUUUAGCUCAGUGAUUUUGUGGCCCGUGAUAUUUUCCUUUCACAUAUCAGUGAAUCUUCAUUCGCAUUAUGUUUUUCUGGACAACCACAUGUGGAUACCGUAUGGGACAUUAUUCUUUUGGCCAGACAGCUUUGUCAAACCUGGUAUCAGUAUGCGCAUCUGGAGUGCCCAUCUCUUUCUUGGCAAAUUUCCAGAUAUCUUUGCUGAGUGCCCGAGGGGCACACUUCCUGAAGUCCGUUUCAAUGGGAUGUGCUUGGGAAUGUUGAUGGUGUCACCACCUCAUUGAUGGCUGAAUGGCCCCCUUCUUCUUCCCACCCUUCUUCUGCGGGACCUAAGUUGGAAAGAAGAAAACAAUUUUAAGUUGAAUAUUACACAUUCUUAAAAUAGUCCCUCAAACAUUUCCACAGCUCUACCCCAGCCUCUCAGGUUGCCUCCUCCUUUCUAAUCUCCUUCCUUCUAGAUUAUUCCCUGAGCUCCAAAGUCUUGUCACUUUAUCAUGCACAGCAUUAUUCAGCUCCCUCAAUCCCUGUUUGCAAUUUUGCUGCUUUCUGCCUGAGCAUGUCAAGAUGCUCAGCUGAACAUUAAUUUGCGUGAAAGUACAAAGGCCCAGCAGAAACCUUGAGACUAUUUUAGCAAGAUUUUUUUCCCUCAGGAAGGAAUCAACUGUUGUAUAAAGUGCUUUUUCCUUUCUCCAAAGUAUAUUCACCAUGCUUCAACCAAUAUACAGAGAAUGUGCAUAUAAAAGUACAUAUUAAAUGGUGUCAACUUUUGCUUCUUAGUCAAAGACUUAGAGUCCAGAAACUGGAGAGAACCUUUGAGGACUUUAGUAAACAGCUGUAUUACUUCUCUGUUGUUAUGGUCUGAAUGUGUCCCCUAAAAUUUCUAUGUUGAAACUUAAUUAUCAAUGUGAUAGUAUUAAGAGGUGGAGCCUUUAGGAGAGAAUUAAGUCAUGAGGGCAGAGCCUUAUAAAAGGGCGUGAGGGGGUGAGUCAGUUCCUACCAUCUCUUCUACCAUGUGAGUGAAACUGCCUUUGAAAAAUUAUAACAGUGAGAAAAUUUUGACAGUGAAAGAGAUCUGACCUAACCAACUCCAUCUUGCUUCUCACUUCCAAGCUGCCCUUGUUUAUUCCUGGGCAUAGGCCAAACUAACUUUGGGAGGAAUUUAGAUUACAAACUUUGAAACAAAGAUGAUAAGAGCUCUUCCAUGAAACAAAUCCCCAGCUUUCCUGGGGACCAGACCACCUUUGUUAAACUAACAGAUUAGGCAGGGCACAAUGGCUCAUGCCUGUAAUCCCAGCACUUUGGGAGGCCAAAAUGGGAGGAUUGUGUAAGUCCAGGAGUUCGAGACCAGCCUGGGCAACAUAGACCUUGUCUCUACAAAAAAUGAACAAAAUUAGCUGGGCAUGGUGGCACUUGCCUGUAGUGCUUCGUGGGGAGCAUCACUUGAGCCCAGGAGGUGUAGUUUGCAGUGAGCCAAGAUCCUGCCACUGCAUUUCUGCCUGUGUGACAGAGCGAGACCUUGUCUCAAAAAAUAAGUAAACUAACAAAUUAACUAGAAGAUUAGAAAUUAUAGCUCAGGAGUCAUGCAGCCAGAGUCCACAAGAUCACCAACCUCCACAAUUGCUCCUAUAGAUAACAUUGCUAUUAUAAAACCUAACAUUGGUGUUUGAGUUAUUUUUCAAAUCCUGAAUUCCAGUGGACCAGCUGGAACCACACAGAUAAGUAAAAUGACUCAUCUGGUCUUGUGGCCCCCUCCAGAAACUGACUCAGCAUAAGAUGACAGCUUCGACUCCCUAUAAUUUUAUUCCUGACCCAACCAAUCAGCAUUCCCCAUUCUAUAGCCUGCUGUCUGCCAAACUAUAAAAAAACCCUAGCCUCUGAAUUUUCAGGAGGUUAAUUUGAGUAGUAAUAAAACUCAUCUUCUGUUUAGCCAGCUCCACAUGCACUAAACUCUUUGUCUUGAUAAAUUGGCUCUAUCUGGUCAGCAGGCAAGAAAAACCUAUUGGAUGGUUACAUGAGGACACAGCAAGAAAGCCCUUAUGAGACACUGAGUUCCGGCAUCUUGAUCUUGAACUUCACAGCCUCUAGAACUGUAAGAAAACUAAUUUCUGUCAUUUAUAAAUUAUCCAGACUGUAUUUUGUUACAGCACCACUAACAGACUAAGACACACAUGUAGAUAUAAAGUGUAAUCAUACUGUAAGCUUCUAUAAAAAAAUUUUUACAUAGCAGACAUGAGCCAGCCCCUGUAAAUUCACUGAGAAUUUGUGAUCCAUGUUGGACUGAUGUGACUGAAAGGAAUGGAAAAAGCAAUACAAAACAAGCUAGACUGUGUCACCUUGUCCCCAGUACCCUCUGGCUUCAUGAGGUUCAGAAGACAAAAGGAAAGAAAAGUCAUAUUUUUUCCCCCUGCUUCUUUUCUUCCAAGCUAUAAUUUGUGUUCCUCUAAGUGUGGCCAUAGCUUCCUACCCUUGUCCAGUAUCCAUAGAGAUAGUACUAAUUUUUCUCUGUUGCUGAUUGGGUGCUCACCAGCCCUGGAGGUUUAAUUCUGCCCACACUCCUGUAAAUAGUCCCUUCAUUAAUUAAUUAAUCAAUUUCCCUUUUGAGUGUGCUAUCAUUUCCUGCCCUAGAACCCUUUUUGAUAUGCUGGAAAGAUAAUUUUCAAAAAAGGUAAAAUAAUGACUCUCAUGCAGCUAUAAAAUGAACAUGUGUCAAAAAUUUUAUUUAAUACAUUAAUUAAAUGAGGGAACCAGUAAAGAUAUUAUAGCCAGUUCAAAGGAGAAGUGAAAAAACAGGAAUUCAGAAAAAUUUGCAAAGGCUGUAAAACUGGCUCUUUCCUUGGGAAUCAGGGAGGGUUGCCCUUCUACCUGACAGAAUUUAUUUGCACAUGUAUAGGUAAGAAUUAUGUGCGUUGUUACCAUUUAUCUGCAAUUUACAGAGUUGUAAAAUAGCUCAAAGACAGUGAAUUGGAAUCAGAUACCCUGAAAAGUUGUGCUCUAAACAAUACGUAAUAUUCCACUGAAGCAUAAUUUUUCUCCAUAUACAUUUGCCUUCUUUCUUUAAAGGGUACUUUGAUUCAGGUAAUUACUUGUGUAGUGAUAUGAGGGCAUCCUAUUCACCAGGAUUUAUUUAGCACAAACAUAGUUUUUAUCUGGAGUAAGUGCUUUGAAAUGCUGAUGGAGUGGAAGGAGAGAUCUGUAGGGAAGGCUCAGAACAGCUUUACAGGAAGCAAGGAGAGGAAUUCACUUUGUAGAGCAAAGGGGAAGGGGAGGAGGCAGAAGAUUGCAAAGACUGUUCACAAUGUGAGCACUCCUUAUAACCCAAACCUUCAGUAAAGUUUGCAAAAAAAGAGAGAUUAUUGGAUACUGAAGCUUUUAUGUGUUGUGCUUUUGUGAAAAUUGGAGGAAAGGAUGAAUUUUUUUUAUGAGAGUUUGUGGCAAUGGAGAUAGACUUUGCACACAAAGAGUCUGAGUGGUGGUGGGGUGGGGGGUACUAUAAAUGAGACUAUGAGCCUCAAGAAUUUACAGACAUGGACAGGGAGAACUCUAGACUUUCACAAACUGAGACUGGUAAUGUUAAAAGAUAAAUUUGGGCACAUUAAAAGUUUUAAAAAUUUAUUUGAACUGUUGAUUUAAAAAAAAGACUCAAACUCUGUAAAAUAUUUUAAGAGAUUUAUUCCGAGCCAAAUGUGAGUGACCAAGGCCUGAGGCACAGUCCCAAGAGGUCCUGAAAACAUGUGCCCAAGGUGGUCGGGUCAUAGCUUGAUUGUGUACAGUUUUAGGGGAACAGAAGUUGCAGGCAGACAUCACUCAGUACAUGUAAAGCGUACACUGCUUUGGUCUGAAAAGGCAGGACAACUUUAAGACGUAAUAUAGGGGGAUUGGGAAACUUGUGGCAGGAGGGGGCUUCCAGGUUAUAGGGAGAGUCAAAGAUUUUCUGACUGGCAAUUGGUUGAAAGAGUUAAGUUACUAUCUCAAGACCUAGGAUCAAUUGAAAGGAGUGUCUGGAUUAAGACAAGGGGUUGUGGAGACCAAGAUUCUUAUUACACAGAUAAAGGUCCCACAUAGCAGGCUUCAGAGAGAACAGAUAGUAAAUGUCUCUUAUCAGACCUAAAAAGGUGUCAGACCUUAAAAGGAAAAACCUGGAAAGGGAAGGGGAUCCUCUACAGAAUAUAGAUUUUCCCCAGAAGAAAUAGCUUUGCAGGGCUAGUUCAAAAUAUGUCAAAAAAAUAUGUUUUGUAGUAAAACACUUCAGUUUAUUUCAGGACCUGCUAUCUGUCAUGUGUUGCUACUGAGGAGUAAAUUCUGAUUUUUUUAUCUUGCCCAAAUUCCUAUCUAAGAGUUCUGGGGAGUCAUGCCCUACAAACCAUAAAUUCUCAUCAGAUGGGUUUUAUUUAACCCUAUAUAUCGAGACUUACUUUUCACCCUGACUCUGGAAUAACAUUACAUGACAAGGAAGAAAAGCAAAAUAUUUUAUCCCAAAACAUGUUUUUUUGCCAUAUCUUGAAAUGGCCCUGCAAAUCUGUCUUUUGUGGGGGAAAAUUUGCAUCAGUAAAGAAUCUCUAUUAACAUAGCUAGAUCUUUUACUUCCAGGCCCUCCCAAUCCUAAAAAGAUUAACUUAAAGUCUAGCACCUUUUAAAGAUCUGAAUAGGAAACGUUUGUCAUCUGUUGUCUCUGAGGGCAGCCACAAUAAAACUUCAAAAGAACCUUGGUCUCCACAAUCCUUUAUCUUAACCUGAACAUUUCCUUUCUGUGAUCUCAGGUCUUUAGAUAAACUCAACCAAUUGUAAAUCAGAAAAUGUUUAAAUUUACCUAUAGCCUGGAAGCCCCAACUUUGAAUUGUCCUACCUUUCAGGACUAAACCAAUGUAUUUCUUAAAUGUAUUUGAUUGAUGUCUCAUGCCUCCCUAAAAUGUAUAAAACCAAACUGUGCCCCAAUCACCUUGGGCACAUGUUCUGAGGACCUCCUGAGAGCUGUGUCACGGGGCCAUGGUCACUCAUAUUUGGCUCGGAAUAAAUCUCUUCAAAUAUUUUACAGAGUUUGGGAGUCCUCGGCCUCCCAAAGUUCUGGGAUUACAGACGUGAGCCACUGUGCCCAACCUUGUAACUGUUUCUUAUCAGACUUUAAAAAGGUGCCAGAGUUAGUUAAUUCCCUUCUGAAUCAGGGAAAGUACUUGGAAAGGGAAGAGGAUUCUCUGUAGAAUGUAGAUUUUCCCCACAAGAGACAGCUUUGCAGGGCCAUUUCAAAAUAUGUCAAGAAAUAUAUUUUGGGAUAAAAUCUUUAGUUUCUUGCAGAACCUGCUCCUUGUCAUGUUGGUAUCUUAGGCUACAAACAGUCUGUUUUGUCAGAUGUAAAAUCUCUAUGUUAAUGUUAAUGCUGGUCAGCUGUACCUAAAUUCCAGAAGGGAGGACAGAAUAAUGAGACAUGUCUGACCCCGCCUUCCCAUCAUGGCCUGAACUAGUUUCUCAGGUUAACUUUGGAAUGCUCUUGGCCAAAAGGAGGGGUCCAUUCAGUUGGUUGGAGGGUUUAGAAUAUAUAUAUUUUUUGAGACAGAGUCUCACUCUGUUGCCCAGGCUGACGUGUAGUGGCAUGAUCUCAGCUCACUGCAACCUCCGCCUCUUGGGUUGAAGUGAUUCUCCAACCUCAGCCUCCCGAGUAGCUGUGAUUACAAGCCUGAGCCACUGCCCCAGCCGAAUUUUAUUUUUGGUUUACAAGGGAGAAGCUCAUUGGGUAAACCAACUAAGGAGGGGCAGAAUAACCAAAUACUUAUUUUAUUUUGUUAAUCCUUUCAGAGGUGCAAUGGUUUUCACUCACAUCUGUGUGAAGAGACCACCAAACAGGCUUUGUGUGAGCAAUAAAGCUUUUAAUCACCUGGGUGCAGGCGGGCUAAGUCCGAAAGGAGAGUCAGCAAAGGGAUAUAAGGAUGGGGCCAUUUUAUAAGAUUUGGGUAGGUAAAGUAAAAUUAUAGUCAAAGGGGGGUUGUUCUCUGAUUGGCAGGAGUGGGGUUCACAGGGUACUCAUUGGGGGAGCUUUUGAGCCAGGAUGAGCCAGGAGAAGGAAUUUCACAAGACAAUGUCAUCAGUUAAGGCAGGAACAGGCCAUUUUCACUUCUUUUGUGGUGGAAUGUCAUCAGUUAAGGCAGGAACCGGCCAUCUGGAUGUGUACUUGCAGGUCACAGGGGAUAUGAUGGCUUAGCUUGGGCUCAGAGGCCUGACAUUUGUGUUGACAGAUUUUUACUUUGUAUUUGCCAGGCCUCUUUCAGACUCAAGCACAAAAAACUCAGUUCAAAUGUCUUUAAAUAACUGGACACUAUUUUGUCUGAUGUUGAUGCAGGAUUUUUCUUGGUCACUUUGCCAGCUGGAGACCUCUGGCUGGUGAUGCCCCCUCCAGGCUUUGGUGGGGCACACUACCUGCCCCUAGGAGGUGGCCUGCCCUUCGACCCACCCAGGCUGGGCCCCAGCCCCCCUGUGUUAUAGCUCGUACCCACAUACAGCGGUCCCUAAGUUCUUGUCCUGUGUCCAAGAAGAAUGCGCGUACUCUGACAAUUGAAGGGUGAGGAGGGCGGAAAAGAAUUGUAUUGAGCAAGAGAAGAGCUCUCAAUAGAGGCAGGACAUGGGGGUGGUCCCCCACUUGAAGUUGGGCGGUUUCUUUCCCAGUGUGGCUGAGUCCAGGGCUUUUAUGGGCUCAGAAUAGGGGAGUACGUGCUGGUUUGUGAAUAUGCAAAAAAGAUUAAAACACAGGCAUGAAUCAAAGGUGGGCAUGACUGUAAAAAACCCAUUAGGGAAGGGGUAGGUGUAUGUAAAGUAGGUGAAGGGUAGGGGUAAAUCAGAGGAAAGCAUGCCAAACUGGAAGACAGGUUCUUAAUCUGGUUCAUGGAUUUGACUUAUAACUUGGUUCUUAGGCUUUAAAUUGUCUUUGGCUUGGAGGUGGGGUUUCACCAGUUACCUGUCCCUGUCUGCCUAGGCAUUUUUCUGCCUCCUGCUGCUAUCCAUUCCCCUCUCUGAGGAGGUACAUCUAACUGCCAUUAGAAUAGAAAUGAAGACUGAACUUAACUGCUUCCUGCUGACAGGGGCCGCUGUUUUGGGAAGAUGGCAGUCAGAUCUCCCUCAGAGGCCUAUUUAAGGGUCCCCGGUAAAAGGGAGCCAUUGUCUGAAGCUGCGGUUGCAUUACAGUUUGGAGUUUGAUAACCUGAAGUCAAGAAGAGACAUAUUAGAAGACAUAUGUCAGGCCAGGCACAGUGGCUCAUGCCUGUAAUCCAAACACUUUGGGAGCCUGAGACAGGCGGAUCAUAAGGUCAGGCGUUUGAGACCAGCCUGGCCAACAUGGUGAAACCCCGUCUUGGCCAGGCGCGGUGGCUCACGCCUGUAAUCCCAGCACUUUGGGAGGCCGAGGCAGGCAGAUCACGAGGUCAGGAGAUCGAGACCAUCCUGGCUGACAUGGUGAAACCCUGUCUCUACUAAAAAUACAAAAAAUCAGCCAGGCGUGGUUGUGGGUGCCUGUAGUCCCAGCUACUCGGGAGGCUGAGGCAGGAGAAUGGCGUGAACCUGGGAGGCAGAGCUUGCAGUGAGCCAAAAUCACGCCACUGCACUCCAGCCUGGGCGACAGAGCAAGACUCCAUCUCAAAAACAAACAAAAAAAGAAACCCCAUCUCUACUAAAAAUACAAAAAAUUAGCUGGGCGUGGUGGCAUGUGCCUGUAAUCCCAGCUACUUAGGAGGCUGAGGCAGGAGAAUUGCUUGAACCCAGGGGGCGGAGGUUGCAGUGAGAUGAAAUUGCGCCAUCGUACUCCAGCCUGGGUGACAGAGCAAGCAAGACUCCAUCUUGAAAAAAAGAAAAAAAGAGGACAUGUAUCAAAACAAAACAAAAGAGGGGGGAUAAGGGCAGCUCCAAAAUCCUGAGGCUGCUGACACGCCCAGAUAACUGGGGGCUAUGGUUAUGCCUGCUAAGAUUUGAGUGCAUGGGCUUAGCUUUGGUUAGCUCCUUUGGUCUUAUUUUCCCAAAAACGAAACUGCUGGGUUAUAGACACCCUAUUUACUCCUGUCACCUGGCAGGACUUGCAGAAUGAUUGCCCAGAACUUAAAAAUUGUUUCAGAUUUUUACAUUACCCAUCCCUUUUUUCUCUUCUGAACUGCAGCCAGAGAUCACUGGUUAGUUCACAGGAAUAAGCAGGGUUAGUCUAAAAUGCAGACAAAAACUUAAAAACUACUAAUAAUGAGACUAGAAUAGAAUGACAAGUGUAUAAGUUUUGAAACAUAAUUGCUCUCUCUCCAGUCCUCAUUUUUGUUAAAACAAAUCAUGAUAGGACUGAAUUGUUUGCAAAACUGAGUUUAGUUUCAUACUUGGCCUGAUUAUUUGCAUAAAGUGCAGCAAGAAUAAUUAUUUUCACAUAGGCUUUUAAAAAUUGGCUCUGAUGAAACCCUGUUCUCUAAGGAAGCUCAGUUGACACUUUUUAAAGCCCAGCCCAGCCAUGGGUUUGUACUCUUAAAUACCUAUGAAUUGGGUACAUUUCUCUCUUCUUGAGGGCCCAAGAUGACUUGGGGCUCCUAGCCCUGUUAGAAAGUGACAUUUCUAACUCACCAAACCUGUAUGGAGAUUGUGUAGACAAGGCAUGAGGCAAGCUUUCCUGAGGGAAAACUUGCAAGCUUUAUUGCCUCUGCAAGUCAAGCUUGAUUCCCUAGAGGGAACCACACCCUUUUAGUAAAAGCCUUGGUAAAAGAACCAGUUUCUCCAAUUGCAUCUUGUUGCAAAAGAAAAUGGAUUCUUAUUGCGCUUAUGCAGAACAUUAUAUUGCUAUAAGUUAAGAAUAUUUGCAUCUAGCUUCCAAAUUUUGGAGAAACCAGGCAGAGAGAAACAAAUAUGCUCCAAAUUUUGUUUGCAGGAGUAUACCUUACUCAAUUGUUAAAAGUUGUAAAUAGCUGAAAAUAAAAGUUUUCCUGGCUUUGAAAAACAAAAGGUUCAGCAACAUUUUAAGCAAAAAAUUAAAAAGGAUUACUUCAGUUUUCUAUUAGUUCAGUCCAUUUUGUUAACUCUUAUUCUGCAAUUCAGCUCUUCAUGAAUCCUAUAUUGUUUUCCUCUAUUCCAAUGUCACAAUCUCCCAAGUUAUCAGAAACCUUUAUUUAAGAGCACGUGUCAAAGUCCUAUAGCUGAUUAUAAACCAUCUUUUGAAAAGGAUCAAAACAAGACAACAGUUGUCUCUGAAUAACAAAAUGUCCAGGGUAGUUACAGUCAAAAACAGGAUUAACAAAGAAAUUUGGUUAUUAUUGUGGUUUAUAAUAACUUAACAUAGUAACUCUAAUUAUGAUUGAUAGCAUAUACUCAAACAUUAGAAUUUUAGAAAUCCAAUACAAUUUUGGAACAUAUUUUAAUAUGAUAUACUAAAAUAUAACCUGAAGAAGUUAAACAUAAUUUUUAUUUUGACAAUGCUGUGUAACUAAACAUGUCAGAUAAUCCUGUUUAUUUCUCUUUUGGGUGCUUCAGGGGCCCUCUGUAGCAGCUAAAAGUUGGGAGUCAGGAAAGAGAAUUUUGAAGUUGAAGUUUGAUUUUGGGAAGCCUAUCAAAUAUGUUAAAGAUUUAGAACACUUGAUAUUAUGAAAUAGAAUUCCAGGUUAUCAUAAAUCAUUUAUUUACCUAAAAUGAUGGCUCAAAAUUUUAAUGUUAUAUAUCUUUAUUUCUUUAAUCAUACGAUCCAUUCUUUUUUUAUUAUUAUACUUUAAGUUCUGGGGUACAUAGGCACAACAUGCAGGUUUGUUACAUACGUGUACAUGUCCCAUGUUGGUUUGCUGCACCCAUCAAUUCGUCAUUUGCAUUAGGUAUUUCUCCUAAUGCUAUCCCUCCCCAAGCCCUCCACCCCUCAACAGGCCUCAGUGUGUGAUGUUCCCCUCCCUGUGUCCAUGUAUUCUCAUUGUUCAAAUCCCACUUAUGAGUGAGAACAUGCGGUGUUUGGUUUUCUCUUCUUGUGUUACUUUGCUGAGAAUGAUGGUUUCCAGUUUCAUCCAUGUCCCUGCAAAGGACAUGAACUCAUCCUUUAUUAUGGCUGCAUAGUAUUCCAUGAUGUAUAUGUGCCACAUUUUCUUUACCUAGUCUAUAAUUGAUGGGCAUUUGGGUUGGUUCCAAGUCCUUGCCAUUGUGAAUAGUGCUGGGCCCAAGCUGAGCUGCUGUCAGUAUCCAAAGGGUCCAGUCUGGUGAUCUGAAGAACAACAACAGGAGACUCUGGACAGCAGAAAAGGUCCAUCCCUGAUCUAGGUUCUGAGGGCCUGCCAUGAGCCUUUCCAUCUUAGUUCAAAUUUCUCCUUUCACUGUGAGAGUUACCUGAAACUCGGCGUCUGUGAUGGUCUAGGGGGCUUCCAAGGUGAUCGGGCAGUGUCAGUCUUCAGCCACUAAGCCGAGAAGAUCUGGGAAGGAGUCAGUCAGAGAGCCAGGGGCUCUGCGAGUGGCUGCCAGGUGAGUUGAACUGUCCGAUUUUCAGUGGGGUCCUGCACAGAUUGGACGCAGCUUAGGAGGAAUUCUGGGCUGUGGGCAUUCCUUGGCCUGGUGGCCAGAUUUCUGGCACUUGUAGCAAGCUUCUGGGGGAGGCGGGCCUGAAGGAAUGCCUGGCCACUGUGGUUUAGGCAUUUGGAAGUUUUUGUGUGUGGAGAUGUGGCUGGGGUUUGUCUCACAGUGGAGGCAAGGAAUUGCAACUCAGAAAUAUGUUGCUACUUGGCUGCCUCUACUCUAUUAUUGUACACCUUGAAGGCGAGGUUAAUUAAGUCCUGUUGUGGGGUUUGAGGGCUGGAAUUUAAUUUUUGGAGUUUUAUUUAAUGUCGGGAGCAGAUUGGAUAAUAAAAUGUAUAUUGAGAAUAAGACGUCCUUUUGACCUUUUAGGGUCUAGGGCUGUAAAGCGUCUCAGGGUUGCUGCUAAAUGAGCCAUGAACUGGGCUGGGUUCUUAUAUCUGUUGAAAAAGAGCCUAAAUGCUCUCUAAUUUGGGAUAAAGAAAAAGGAGCAUUAACCUUGAUUGUGCCUUUAGCUCCAGCCACCUUUUUAAGAGGAAAUUGCUGGGCAGGUGGGGGAGGGCUAGUCUCAGAACGAAACUGUGAGCCGGACCUGGUGUGAGGAGGGGAGGUGAUAAAAAGGAUAAUAGGGUGGAGGAGCAGAGGCUGAGGAAGAAUUGGGACCUAGCUCAGCCUGGCGAGGAGGGGAGAGGUCAGAUGGGUCUGUAGAAAAGGAAUAUUAGAAAGACUCAGCGAUGCUUGGGGUUGGGACUAAGGGGACAGGCGGGAGAGAAAGAAGGAAGAUUUGGGACAAGUUGCAUUGGGAACAGAAACUAGGGAGGGACCGACGUGUAAAAGAAUGCCUGGACGUCAGGCACCUCAGACCGUUUGCCUAUUUUACGGCAAGAAUUAUUUAGAUCUCAUAGGAUGGAAAAAUUGAAAGUGCUAUUUUCUCGCUAUUUGGAACCACUGUUGAGUUUGUAUUGGGUCAAGUGGCAUUGCAGAAGGAAAUAAGGCAUUUAGGUUUUAGGUCAGGUGUUUGUUGAAGAGGUUUUAGGUUUUUAAGAACACAGGCUAAGGGAGAAGAAGGGGGAAUGGAGGGUGGAAGCUUGCCCAUAGUGAAGGAGGCAAGCCCAGAGAAAAGAGAGAGUAGAGACACGGAGAGAAGGGGUGGGGGGUUCUUGACCCCCAGAAAAGCAGAGAAGGGGUAAAGACAGAGAGAAGGGGUCGGGGGGUUCCUGCCCCCUAGAAAAGCAGUACUUGCCACUAAGAGUGAAGGAGAAGGGGUUGAGGGGUUCUUGCCCCCUAGAAAAGUGGUACUUGCUGCUAAGGGUGAAGGAGAAGGGGUUGGGGGGUUCUUGCCCGCCAGAAAAGUGGAGAAGGGGUAGAGACACGGAGAGAAGGGGUUGGGGGGUUCUUGCCCCCCAGAAAAGCGGUACUUGCUGCUAAGGGUGACGGACCAAGGCAGGCGUCCCUGCAUGGUCAGACACCUCUGAAACUUAGGUGAAUAAUCAGGCAGGCGUCUCCGCGUGAUUAAACACCAAGAGAAGACUGUCUUCCCCAGUCCUUGACUGGCGCCGGAGUUUUGGGUCCACGGAUAAAACGUGUCUCCUUCAUCUCUACCAGAAAAGGAAAGGAACUGAAAUUAAGAGAAGGGAGAGACUGAAGUGUGACGCCAAGAUUUAAAGGAGAAAGAGGUUGAGGGAUAGUGAGAGAGGUUGUAGAAGAGAGUAAAAAGAGGCCACUUACUGGAUUUAAAAUUGGUGAGAUGUUCCUUGGGCUAGUUGGUCUGGGGACCAGAGGUCGUAGGUGGAUCUUUCUCACAGAACAAAGAGCAGGAGGACAGGGGAUUGAUCUCCCAAGGGAGGUCCCCCGAUCUGAGUCAUGGCACCAAAUUUCACUCACGUCCAUGUGAAGAGACCACCAAACAGGCUUUGUGUGAGCAAUAAAGCUUUUUAAUCACCUGGGUGCAGGCGAGCUGAGUCCAAAAAGAGAGUCAGCCCAAAAAUUUUUUUAAAAAGCAAAAACCUUUACUCAUUUAGAGGGAAGACUUAGGUUUCCAAACAGUCUGUCUCUUGUAUCUCCCUUCCUUUUUUUUUCAGUAGCUUAUUUGCAAGACAAACAAAAGUCUUUCAUUAUCCUUUAAUUAUAUUACGUGAAAAUCUUGUUUAAGAGAGAGAAAGCCAAAUUCCACCCUUACAUUAGUCUUCUAUUAAUGUCAGCCUUAAUUUUUAAAAAACGAAACCUUAUAGGCUGGGGGUGGUGCCUCACACCUGUAAUCUCAGCACUUUGGGAGACAAAGGCAGGGGAUCAUUUGAGACCAGGAGUUCGAGAACAGCCUGGCCAACAUGGACAGACCUUGUCUCUAUUAAAAAUGCAAAAAUUAACUGGGCCUGGUGGUACCCACCUGUAAUCCGAGCUACUCAGGAAUCUGAGACAGGAGAAUCACUUGAACCCAGUAGGCGGAGGUUGCAGUGAGAUUGUACCACAACACUCCAGCCUGGGUAGUGACAGAGUGAGACUCUGCCUCAAAAACAACAACAAAAAACCUUAUAGGUAAUUCUAUCAAAUCUUAACCUGUUCAUCUGUCAGGUGAGAUUCUUAUAAACCAUUUUUUUUUUUUUUUUUUUGAGACAGAGUCUCGAUCUGUUGCCCAGGCUGGAGUGCGGUGGCACGAUCUCAGCUCACUACAACCUCCGCCUCCCUGGUUCAAGCAGUUCUUCUACCUCAGCCUCUUGAGUAGCUGGGAUUACAGGCACCCACCACCAUACUUGGCUAAUUUUUGUAUUUUUAGUAGAGAUGGGGUUUCGCUGUGUUGGCCAGGCUGGUCUCGAACUCCUGACAUGGGGUUGGGCGAUCCGACCACCUCAGCCUCCCAAAGUGCUGGGAUUACAGGCAUGAGCCACUGCGCCCAUCCUCUUAUAAGCCUUUUAUAACUCUUUACACAUUUUUGUUAAAGAGCAGAUCAGUGCCUUUAGAAAACCUUGUUUUCCUUUUAUUCCCAUGUUCUAUUUGUGGAAAAACCAAAUAAUACUCUUGAAUUUAGUCAAUACAUUUACACACAAGAUUUCUUUUACAAAGUUAAUUUUUACAGACCUUCCACAACUUGUUCAAACCUUUAAUUUAAAACAAUCCUUUAACCCUCUAGGCAAAAAUUUACAUUCCCAUGCCUUCUUAUAAUCUUUUACUAAAAACAUAUUUUACUUUUCUCUUACACCUUCCAUGUAAAUCUAUUUUCGGUAGCCUCCGUUACAUGUUAUAAUGGUAACUCUUAGAUAUUUUUAGUGUUAAUGUAAAACCUGGUUAGUUAUUUUAAUUAUGUACUAGGCACAGGUAAGGUGUCUUUCCAGCAUAGUUAGGGGUACAGUUAAAUCCAUAUGUCCCCAGGCCUUAAACUGUAAAGCAGGCAAGUCUUAACAACUUUCAAAAGCCAAAGAAGCAGUUUUUGACCUUAAAGUAUUUAGUAAUCCAAGUAUUUGACCUGCAUAAUUUAGACCACAUAUUUACAUUUUGAAGACAUUUGUCAUAUAACCUUUAAGACUUUUUUUAUUUCUCAAAGAUUAAAGUCACAUGAACUAAAAGGGAUUACAGCUUCUAUUUUUUCUUUAAAAAUAUUUGAUCUAAGUGCUUAUUUUUACUUAAUCCAAUUAAUUGGAGCUCUUUUUUAUAUAAACAUCACAUACAUAUCACAUGCAUAACUACACAGACAGAAGAAGAUCCACUAGUUAUAAGAUUUUUUUUUUUUUUUGAGACACAGUCUUGCUGUGUCGCUCAGGCUGGGGAGCAGUGAUGUGAUCUCAGCUCACUGCAAACUCCACCUCCUGAGUUCAAGUGAUUCUCCUGCCUCAGCCUUCUGAGUAGCUGAGAUUACAGGCACCCAUCACCAUGUCUAGCUAAUUUUUCUAUUUUUAGUAGAGAUGGGGUUUCACCGUGUUGGCCACGGUGGUCUCAGACUCCUGGCCUCAGGUGAUCCACCCACCUCAGCCUCUGAAAGUUCCAGGAUUACAGGUGUCAGCCACCUGGCCCUGACAGAUUUUUCACUUGCCAAUCUCCUAAUUGGGUUACUGGACUCGGGUUGAGCUCUUCAAAAAACCGGUAGGAAAACAUGCCGUUUCUAGGGCCUAAUAAGUAGGUACAGCUUGAAGACAAAAACAGAUUUUGAGAGGGAUCUAUCUGACUUUAAUUAUUAGUUAGAGUUCCCUGAGGAAAACAUUUUUCCCAAAAUGGGUUCUGUGGUGCCUUCUCUGUUUUUCCCAAGGAAUCCCAGGCUAUCAGAAAUUAUCUUAGGCUUCUCAUGUGUGCAUUAAGAGUGAAAAAAAAAUUAAGUCAACUGAGAAGACAAAAACCUUUUUCCAACCAAACAAGAUCCAAGAAGAGAAAAAAAAGACAUAAAGGUGUUUUAAAUAUACCUAUAGCUAGGAUAUCCAAUUUUUUUUUGUUUCAGACAGAGUCUCACUCUGUUGCUCAGGCUGGAAUGCAGUGGCACAAUCUCAGCUCACUGCAACUUCUACCUCUUGAGUUCAAGAGGUAGCCUCCCAAGUAGCUUACAUUACAGGUGCAUGCCACCAUGCCCAGCUAAUUUUUUGUGUUUGUAGUAGAGACAGGAUUUUGACAUGUUGGCCAGGCUGGUCUUAAACUCCUGAGCUCAUGCAAUCUACCCGCCUCGGCCUCCCAAAGUGCUAGGAUUACAGACGUGAGCCACCACACGCAGCCUCUCCACUUUUAAUAUAAGCUGACUUUUAACCAUGGUGCUCUUUUAAAAAAUAUUUUCAAAUCCCUUAUUACUUGAGUUGGUCAAGCCGCCAAUAUUUCUGGCUUUUGAACUUUACCAAAAGCAACCUCACAGGUGAAACUAACAAACCUCAACUAAGGUUAUGACUUAACCACAAGUAUUAUGAAUUAUUUUCAAAGAGAUGUUAAGC
RNAcentral lists this long non-coding RNA (16611 nucleotides) under Homo sapiens (human). Its description in RNAcentral is "non-protein coding lnc-DLX2-4:15". Lineage: Eukaryota; Metazoa; Chordata; Mammalia; Primates; Hominidae. The record is from RNAcentral.